UCACCAGCCUUGGCUUCGGCGUGCGGGGUUUCCCGGUGUUUUCCCUCCCGGCGCUUACCGGGACGGCGCUGUUCAUCCCGCCCCUCGUGAACAGCCGGGCAGGGCCACAGGCCCGCUGUGUCCAAGUGCUUUAGAGUAAGGACUUGGGCUGGAAGUCAGAAAACCUGUGUGUUGUAGGAACCGUUUUCUGUUCUGGGAACGUUUAGGGUUACAGGUAAUUGACAAAAAUAAAAUAAUUCGUCACAAAUGUGCAGUACCCCCAGAUGAAAUUUAGAAGAUCAUCGGAGACCUCUGCAGUCUCUGCACAGUCUUCACAGCCAAGCUGAGCUCCCCUCACCUAAGGCACAGCCCCCAGAUCUGCCUAAAGAAAUUCUGCAAGAUUUGGAGCCCUGGUUUUCUGCGAGAAAAUUUUUCUUUUCCGGGCCAAAGUGAAUCCUGCACCUUUUUCGGUGUCGUUUCAUCUGGAGCCUGAGAACACAGUGACUUGCAGAAGCAACAAUCAAAGCUGGCUACGACUUGACUGCCCUGCCUUGGCAAGCACCUGGUCCAGUUCAUGUUUUGUUGCCAUCCUGGCAACAACCCAACCCAUGAUGGCUCUUUGUGUACUUUUUUUACUUGUUUUAUUGAGGAUUAAUUAGUGUUUGUGUAGUGACACAGCUGUCUGGUGCUCCAUGGACACAGCUGAAGGCGAAGGCCUUCGGGCUAUGCUGUGGUUUCCAAAUUCCUGUGUUAUGGCUACUGUAAUGCAUAUCCUCGAAGUGAAACAAACAUUUCUGACUGAUUUAUGACUUUUGACUGCCAGCUUUCAGUCUUGUGCUUAUAGGAAGAAGAGAAGAAGAUGGAGUAUCAAAACCAAGCUCUGUUACUUGAAGAAUUAUUUCAAGUCUCCUGUUGGUCACUUGAGGCUCUUGCACAUGCUCUGAAAUUCACCAGAAGAGGUCUUACGGUGCCUUAAUCUUUUAUACCUUGUAGAACACCAUCCUACAUUGUCUCUCCAUGUUCUUCUCACUGACUUUACCCUUCCAUGAAUCACAGGGCUCCUCAUCCCAGCCUACACGGCACUGCAGGCAUGCCAGGCUAUGUCAAACACAGGUCCCAGCCCAAGGUGCUUGUUUUCCCUCAGAUUACACAUUUCAUAACUCGCUUGUAAAGCACCUUGAAGAUACAACACUAGUGUUGCUAACACUAAAUGGUAUUGUUGGGCAGGUUUAACAUGAGCAAUUAAAUAGUAAUUCCAUAAAAAAGGUGCCAGACACUAAGGUAGGAUUAA
This is a long non-coding RNA of Cyanistes caeruleus (blue tit), 1270 nucleotides long. RefSeq lists it as uncharacterized. The record is from RefSeq and is a predicted model, not a curated record. Lineage: Eukaryota; Metazoa; Chordata; Aves; Passeriformes; Paridae.